AUAUCAAUAAGCGGAGGAAAAGAAACCAACAGGGAUUGCCUUAGUAACGGCGAGUGAAGCGGCAACAGCUCAAAUUUGAAAUCUGGCCUCUGGCCCGAAUUGUAAUUUGCAGAGGAUGCUUCGAGCAUAGCACGGUCUGAGUUCCCUGGAACGGGACGCCAGAGAGGGUGAGAGCCCCGUACAGAUCAGUGCUUCUGUUCAUGUGAGGCUCCUUCGACGAGUCGAGUUGUUUGGGAAUGCAGCUCUAAAUGGGUGGUAAAUUUCAUCUAAAGCUAAAUAUUGGCCAGAGACCGAUAGCGCACAAGUAGAGUGAUCGAAAGAUGAAAAGCACUUUGGAAAGAGAGUUAAAUAGCACGUGAAAUUGUUAAAAGGGAAGCGCUCGCAACCAGACUUGCGCGUAGCUGAUCAUCUAGCGUUCUCGCUGGUGCACUCAGUUACGCUCAGGCCAGCAUCAGUUUUGGUGGCCGGAUAAAGGCCCUAGGAACGUAGCUGCUCCGGCAGUGUUAUAGCCUAGGGUGCCAUGCGGCCCGCCGAGACUGAGGUCUGCGCAUCGCAAGGACUGCUG
RNAcentral lists this ribosomal RNA (565 nucleotides) under Lauriomyces bellulus. Its description in RNAcentral is "eukaryotic LSU rRNA". It matches the Rfam family "Eukaryotic large subunit ribosomal RNA", at positions 40 to 628 of the family's 3401-position model. The record is from RNAcentral. Lineage: Eukaryota; Fungi; Ascomycota; Leotiomycetes.